This 206-nucleotide ribosomal RNA is filed under the name uncultured bacterium. Its description in RNAcentral is "partial 16S ribosomal RNA". It matches the Rfam family "Bacterial small subunit ribosomal RNA", at positions 568 to 774 of the family's 1533-position model. The record is from RNAcentral.
UGCGUAGGUGGUUAUUUAAGUCCGUUGUGAAAGCCCUGGGCUCAACCUGGGAACUGCAGUGGAUACUGGAUGACUAGAAUGUGGUAGAGGGUAGCGGAAUUCCUGGUGUAGCAGUGAAAUGCGUAGAGAUGUGGAGGAACACCGAUGGCGAAGGCAGCCCCCUGGGCCGAUACUGACGCUCAUGCACGAAAGCGUGGGAGCAAACA